Molecule: ribosomal RNA, 1417 nt
Filed under: Serratia sp. EAMC1
Lineage: Bacteria; Pseudomonadati; Pseudomonadota; Gammaproteobacteria; Enterobacterales; Yersiniaceae
Description: bacterial SSU rRNA
Rfam family: Bacterial small subunit ribosomal RNA
Source: RNAcentral
CUGCCUGAUGGAGGGGGAUAACUACUGGAAACGGUAGCUAAUACCGCAUAACGUCGCAAGACCAAAGAGGGGGACCUUCGGGCCUCUUGCCAUCAGAUGUGCCCAGAUGGGAUUAGCUAGUAGGUGGGGUAAUGGCUCACCUAGGCGACGAUCCCUAGCUGGUCUGAGAGGAUGACCAGCCACACUGGAACUGAGACACGGUCCAGACUCCUACGGGAGGCAGCAGUGGGGAAUAUUGCACAAUGGGCGCAAGCCUGAUGCAGCCAUGCCGCGUGUGUGAAGAAGGCCUUCGGGUUGUAAAGCACUUUCAGCGAGGAGGAAGGUGGUGAGCUUAAUACGUUCAUCAAUUGACGUUACUCGCAGAAGAAGCACCGGCUAACUCCGUGCCAGCAGCCGCGGUAAUACGGAGGGUGCAAGCGUUAAUCGGAAUUACUGGGCGUAAAGCGCACGCAGGCGGUUUGUUAAGUCAGAUGUGAAAUCCCCGGGCUCAACCUGGGAACUGCAUUUGAAACUGGCAAGCUAGAGUCUCGUAGAGGGGGGUAGAAUUCCAGGUGUAGCGGUGAAAUGCGUAGAGAACUGGAGGAAUACCGGUGGGGAAGGCGGCCCCCUGGAGGAAAACUGAAGCUCAGGAGCGAAAGCGUGGGGAGCAAACAGGACUAGAAACCCUGUAAAGCCCCGCUGUAAACCAGGUCGAGAAGGCGGCUGCGUCCAUGAAGACUGACUUUCGGGUGUGAAAGCGUGAAGAGCAAACAGGAGUAGAUACCCUGGUAGUCCACGCUGUAAACGAUGUCGAUUUGGAGGUUGUGCCCUUGAGGCGUGGCUUCCGGAGCUAACGCGUUAAAUCGACCGCCUGGGGAGUACGGCCGCAAGGUUAAAACUCAAAUGAAUUGACGGGGGCCCGCACAAGCGGUGGAGCAUGUGGUUUAAUUCGAUGCAACGCGAAGAACCUUACCUACUCUUGACAUCCAGAGAACUUUCCAGAGAUGGAUUGGUGCCUUCGGGAACUCUGAGACAGGUGCUGCAUGGCUGUCGUCAGCUCGUGUUGUGAAAUGUUGGGUUAAGUCCCGCAACGAGCGCAACCCUUAUCCUUUGUUGCCAGCGGUUCGGCCGGGAACUCAAAGGAGACUGCCAGUGAUAAACUGGAGGAAGGUGGGGAUGACGUCAAGUCAUCAUGGCCCUUACGAGUAGGGCUACACACGUGCUACAAUGGCAUAUACAAAGAGAAGCGACCUCGCGAGAGCAAGCGGACCUCAUAAAGUAUGUCGUAGUCCGGAUUGGAGUCUGCAACUCGACUCCAUGAAGUCGGAAUCGCUAGUAAUCGUAGAUCAGAAUGCUACGGUGAAUACGUUCCCGGGCCUUGUACACACCGCCCGUCACACCAUGGGAGUGGGUUGCAAAAGAAGUAGGUAGCUUAACC